UGGGGAAUCUUCCGCAAUGGGCGCAAGCCUGACGGAGCAACGCCGCGUGAGUGAAGAAGGGUUUCGAUUCGUAAAGCUCUGUUGUCGGGGACGAAUGUGGAGAUGGUGAAUAACCAUUUCUAAUGACGGUACCCAACAAGGAAGUGACGGCUAACUACGUGCCAGCAGCCGCGGUAAAACGUAGGUCACAAGCGUUGUCCGGAAUUACUGGGUGUAAAGGGAGCGCAGGCGGGAAGACAAGUUGGAAGUGAAAUCUAUGGGCUCAACCCAUAAACUGCUUUCAAAACUGUUUUUCUUGAGUAGUGCAGAGGUAGGCGGAAUUCCCGGUGUAGCGGUGGAAUGCGUAGAUAUCGGGAGGAACACCAGUGGCGAAGGCGGCCUACUGGGCACCAACUGACGCUGAGGCUCGAAAGUGUGGGUAGCAAACAGGAUUAGAUACCCUGGUAGU
RNAcentral lists this ribosomal RNA (448 nucleotides) under uncultured Faecalibacterium sp. RNAcentral describes it as "bacterial SSU rRNA". It matches the Rfam family "Bacterial small subunit ribosomal RNA", at positions 355 to 794 of the family's 1533-position model. Lineage: Bacteria; Bacillati; Bacillota; Clostridia; Eubacteriales; Oscillospiraceae. The record is from RNAcentral.